This 255-nucleotide ribosomal RNA is filed under the name uncultured Pseudomonas sp. Its description in RNAcentral is "partial 16S ribosomal RNA". It matches the Rfam family "Bacterial small subunit ribosomal RNA", at positions 99 to 351 of the family's 1533-position model. Lineage: Bacteria; Pseudomonadati; Pseudomonadota; Gammaproteobacteria; Pseudomonadales; Pseudomonadaceae. The record is from RNAcentral.
CGGACGGGUGAGUAAUGCCUAGGAAUCUGCCUGGUAGUGGGGGACAACGUUUCGAAAGGAACGCUAAUACCGCAUACGUCCUACGGGAGAAAGCAGGGGACCUUCGGGCCUUGCGCUAUCAGAUGAGCCUAGGUCGGAUUAGCUAGUUGGUGAGGUAAUGGCUCACCAAGGCGACGAUCCGUAACUGGUCUGAGAGGAUGAUCAGUCACACUGGAACUGAGACACGGUCCAGACUCCUACGGGAGGCAGGCAGCU